GACGAGCGCUGGCGGCGUGCUUAACACAUGCAAGUCGAACGGAAAGGCCCUGCUUUUGUGGGGUGCUCGAGUGGCGAACGGGUGAGUAACACGUGAGUAACCUGCCCUUGACUUUGGGAUAACUUCAGGAAACUGGGGCUAAUACCGGAUAGGAGCUCCUGCUGCAUGGUGGGGGUUGGAAAGUUUCGGCGGUUGGGGAUGGACUCGCGGCUUAUCAGCUUGUUGGUGGGGUAGUGGCUUACCAAGGCUUUGACGGGUAGCCGGCCUGAGAGGGUGACCGGCCACAUUGGGACUGAGAUACGGCCCAGACUCCUACGGGAGGCAGCAGUGGGGAAUAUUGCAAAAUGGGCGGAAGCCUGAUGCAGCAACGCCGCGUGCGGGAUGACGGCCUUCGGGUUGUCAACCGCUUUCGCCUGUGACGAAGCGUGAGUGACGGUAAUGGGUAAAGAAGCACCGGCUAACUACGUG
Molecule: ribosomal RNA, 468 nt
Filed under: uncultured bacterium
Lineage: Bacteria
Description: partial 16S ribosomal RNA
Rfam family: Bacterial small subunit ribosomal RNA
Source: RNAcentral